This 78-nucleotide transfer RNA is filed under the name Caudoviricetes sp. Its description in RNAcentral is "tRNA-Ser". It matches the Rfam family "tRNA". From Rfam's summary of the family: Transfer RNA (tRNA) molecules are approximately 80 nucleotides in length. Their secondary structure includes four short double-helical elements and three loops (D, anti-codon, and T loops). Further hydrogen bonds mediate the characteristic L-shaped molecular structure. tRNAs have two regions of fundamental functional importance: the anti-codon, which is responsible for specific mRNA codon recognition, and the 3' end, to which the tRNAs corresponding amino acid is attached (by aminoacyl-tRNA synthetases). tRNAs cope with the degeneracy of the genetic code in two manners: having more than one tRNA (with a specific anti-codon) for a particular amino acid; and 'wobble' base-pairing, i.e. permitting non-standard base-pairing at the 3rd anti-codon position. Lineage: Duplodnaviria; Heunggongvirae; Uroviricota; Caudoviricetes. The record is from RNAcentral.
GCAGACGUAGCUCAGUUGGUAGAGCACCGGACUUCGAGAGCCGGUAUGUCGUGGGUCCGUGCCCCAUCGUCUGUGCCA